This 301-nucleotide ribosomal RNA is filed under the name uncultured bacterium. Its description in RNAcentral is "partial 16S ribosomal RNA". It matches the Rfam family "Bacterial small subunit ribosomal RNA", at positions 509 to 809 of the family's 1533-position model. The record is from RNAcentral.
CAGUAGCCGCGGGAAUACGUAGGGUCCGAGCGUUGUCCGGAAUUAUUGGGCGUAAAGGGCUCGUAGGCGGUUUGUCGCGUCGGGAGUGAAAACCAGCAGCUUAACUGCUGGCCUGCUUUCGAUACGGGCAGACUUGAGGCAUUCAGGGGAGAACGGAAUUCCUGGUGUAGCGGUGAAAUGCGCAGAUAUCAGGAGGAACACCGGUGGCGAAGGCGGCUCACUGGUCCAUUACUGACGCUGAGGUGCGAAAGCGUGGGGAGCAAACAGGAUUAGAUACCCCCGUAGUCCCUGUCUCUUAUAA